RNAcentral lists this ribosomal RNA (263 nucleotides) under uncultured Staphylococcus sp. Its description in RNAcentral is "partial 16S ribosomal RNA". It matches the Rfam family "Bacterial small subunit ribosomal RNA", at positions 99 to 354 of the family's 1533-position model. Lineage: Bacteria; Bacillati; Bacillota; Bacilli; Caryophanales; Staphylococcaceae. The record is from RNAcentral.
CGGACGGGUGAGUAACACGUGGAUAACCUACCUAUAAGACUGGGAUAACUUCGGGAAACCGGAGCUAAUACCGGAUAAUAUAUUGAACCGCAUGGUUCAAUAGUGAAAGACGGUUUUGCUGUCACUUAUAGAUGGAUCCGCGCCGCAUUAGCUAGUUGGUAAGGUAACGGCCUACCAAGGCAACGAUGCGUAGCCGACCUGAGAGGGUGAUCGGCCACACUGGAACUGAGACACGGUCCAGACUCCUACGGGAGGCAGCAGGC